ACCUCCUGGAGAACCAGGACCACCCCUGGGGACCUCCCGGCCAGCUGGGGCCACCACUGUGGACCUCUUGGAGAGCCCGGACCACCACUGUGGUCCUCCUGGAGAGCUGGGACCACCCCAGGGGACCUCCUGGAGAGCCAGGGCCACCACUGGGGACCUCCUGGAGAACCAGGACCACCCCUGGGGACCUCCCGGUCAGCUGAGGCCACCACUGUGGAUCUCUUGGAGAGCCGGGACCAUCACUGCGGUCCUCCUGGAGAGCCAGGGCCACCCCAGGGGACCUCCUGGAGAGCCAGGACCACCCCGGGGACCUCCUGCUCAGCUGGGACCACCCCAGGGAACCUCCUGGAGAGCCAGGACCAUCACUGUGGUCCUCCUAGAGAGCCAGGGCCACCACUGUGAACCUUCUGGAGAACCAGAACCACCACUGUGGUCCUCUUGGAGAGCCGCGACCCCCCCGGGGACCUCCUGGAGAGCCGGGACCACCACGGACGCCCCAUCCCCAAGUCCAAUGCCCUCCUCUUCCUCCCUCCCCGCCCCAGGGCCACGACAACCUCUACGACGACCCCUACCAGCCCGAGGUGGAAGCCCAGAGCUCGGCGGCGGCGGCCGCCCGGCGCCGGGCCUACUGCCGCAACCGGGAGCACUUCGCCACCAUCCGCACGGCGUCGCUGGUGACGCGGCAGAUCCAGGAGCACGAGCAGGACUCGGCGCUGCGCGAGCAGAUGAGCGGCUACAAGCGCAUGCGGCGCCAGCACCAGAAGCAGCUCAUGGCGCUGGAGAACAAGCUCAAGGCCGAGCUGGACGAGCACCAGCUGCGCCUCGACAAGGAGCUCGAGGCCCACCGCAGCAACUUCAGCGCCGAGGCCGAGAAGCUGGCCAAGAAGCACCAGGCCAUCUUCGAGAAGGAGGUAGGGAAGGGGGGCACGGAGCUGGAAGAGGUGGGGUGGGAGUUAUGGGGGGUUGGAGGUGCUCCAGACCAUCUUGGAGAAGCAGGCGGCAGGAUCUGGACCAGGGAGCGGAGUUAGAAGAGCUGGGAUGGGAUCUCUGGGGGUUGGAGGUGCACCAGACCAUCUUGGAGAAGGAAAAGGUGGGAUCUGGACCAGGGAGCGGAGUUAGAGGAGGUGGGAUGGGAUCUUUGGGGGGUUGGAGGUGCUCCAGACCA
RNAcentral lists this long non-coding RNA (1165 nucleotides) under Apteryx rowi (Okarito brown kiwi). RNAcentral describes it as "lncRNA (ENSARWG00000009607.1)". Lineage: Eukaryota; Metazoa; Chordata; Aves; Apterygiformes; Apterygidae. The record is from RNAcentral.